UGGCCGCUCAGGAGGCCGUGGCUGGGAAGGUGGGUGGCGGGCUUUGCCCAGGGGUUGGGGAUAAGGACGUCUGCGGCUAGCGGUUUGGCCUACACGUACAGGCGAUGCCAGGGAGGGAGGCGCACACACCGUGGGGUCGGGCGGCUGUGCGCUCUCGGCCCGGCUCCGUGGCACCGGCGGGGAAUCCGCCCGGGCCGCCCCGCCUCCAGCCGGUCCUCCUCGCCGCAGGUGCCGGUGGACAGCGUGGAAGAGGCGGAGCAGACCCUCGCGGCCCCCGCGGAGCUGGCCGCCCAGAAGCGCGAACAGAGGCUGCGCAAAUUCCGGGAGCUGCACCUGAAGCGGAAUGAAGCUCGAAAGUUAAAUCACCAGAAGUUGUGGAGGAAGAUAAAAGACUUAAACUACUUGCAAAGUGGGAGGCUAAAAAAGCUCGUCUGGAAUGGGAGCUGCAGGAAGAAGAAAAGAAAAAAUGGAGAGGAGUUCUACCCAACAUCCAACAGUCUUCUUCAUGGAACCCAUGUGCCCUCCACAGAGGAAAUUGAUAGGAUGGUCAUAGACUGGGAAAAGCAAAUUGAAAAAUGA
This 579-nucleotide long non-coding RNA is filed under the name Ursus maritimus (polar bear). RNAcentral's name for it is "lncRNA (ENSUMAG00000013102.1)". Lineage: Eukaryota; Metazoa; Chordata; Mammalia; Carnivora; Ursidae. The record is from RNAcentral.